UAGGGAAUAUUAGUAAUGGGCGAAAGCCUGAACUAGCAACGCCGCGUGUGCGAAGAAAGCCUUCGGGUUGUAAAGCACUCUUUGAGAGGACGAGGAAGGACGGUACUCUCAGAAUAAGUCUCGGCUAACUACGUGCCAGCAGACGCGGUAACACGUAGGAGGCGAACGUUAUCCGGAUUUACUGGGCGUAAAGCGCGUGUAGGUGGUUUGGUAAGUAGGGCGUGAAAGCUCCUGGCUCAACUGGGAGAGGCCGUUCUAAACUGCCUAACUAGAGGAUGGUAGAAGUAGGUGGAAUUCCUGGUGUAGCGAUGGAAUGCGCAGAUAUCCUGAAUAACACCAGUGGCGAAAGCGGCCUCCUGGACCAUUCCUGACACUCAGACGCGAAAGCUAG
Molecule: ribosomal RNA, 391 nt
Filed under: uncultured bacterium
Lineage: Bacteria
Description: bacterial SSU rRNA
Rfam family: Bacterial small subunit ribosomal RNA
Source: RNAcentral